AUUGAACGCUGGCGGCAUGCCUUACACAUGCAAGUCGAACGGCAGCACGGGUGCUUGCACCUGGUGGCGAGUGGCGAACGGGUGAGUAAUACAUCGGAACGUACCUUAUCGUGGGGGAUAACGCAGCGAAAGCUGUGCUAAUACCGCAUACGCCCUGCGGGGGAAAGCGGGGGAUCGAAAGACCUCGCGCGAUUAGAGCGGCCGAUGCCUGAUUAGCUUGUUGGUGGGGUAAAGGCCCACCAAGGCGACGAUCAGUAGCUGGUCUGAGAGGACGAUCAGCCACACGGGGACUGAGACACAGCCCAGACUCCUACGGGAGGCAGCAGUGGGGAAUUUUGGACAAUGGGGGAAACCCUGAUCCAGCAAUGCCGCGUGAGUGAAGAAGGCCUUCGGGUUGUAAAGCUCUUUUGUCAGGGAAGAAACACCGGCUCUAACACAGUCCGGGAAUGACGGUACCUGAAGAAUAAGCACCGGCUAACUACGUGCCAGCCGCCGCCGUAA
Molecule: ribosomal RNA, 501 nt
Filed under: uncultured bacterium
Lineage: Bacteria
Description: partial 16S ribosomal RNA
Rfam family: Bacterial small subunit ribosomal RNA
Source: RNAcentral